Molecule: long non-coding RNA, 4952 nt
Organism: Rhinopithecus bieti (black snub-nosed monkey)
Lineage: Eukaryota; Metazoa; Chordata; Mammalia; Primates; Cercopithecidae
Source: Ensembl
GAGCCGGAGGGCGCCGGCGCCCGGCGCGCUCCCCACCUACUGGCCCUGGCUGUGCGCGGCCGCGCAGGUGGCGGCGCUGGCGGCCUGGCUGCUCGGCAGGCGGAACUUGUAGGAACGCGGGGCUUCUUGGUGGGGCCGGAGCCGAGACCCAGCCGGAGCAAGCAACAGGAGACUGGAUAAGCGCUCCCCUCCUGGGACCAGGCGUGCGGGAUGUCGGGUGCACCCGCGGGAGGCGGAGGACUCCGGGCAGGAGCCUGACUGUGUUCCCGUUUACCGGUUGGUGAAAACCCUGUGUCCUUGGAGAAAGCUGGUUCCCGUUUUCCAGAGGGGGAGCCCAGAGCUUGAAAGGCCACGGUUGGCACUUCGAGAAGGAAGUGGAGAGUAAAGACAGCGCCUGGAGCGAUCGUAGAAACACAGAAUGGGACUGGGGAAGCCCUUUGGAAAUCCAGCUGCAGAAACAGACACCCCAAUGCUAUUUACAUACAGCUCUCUCUCUAUAUAUAUAAUAUGAAUAUUACGUAUCAGUGCAUGCCUUGUCGAGGACGUGGUUGCCUUCCUUUUCUGCACCUUGCGAUGUGAACUUUGAUAUUCUGUAAUGUCUGGGGCGCCAGAAGAGAGAUGCCUGCUGUGUACUUAGAAACUGUUUGCAAAGACUGGUGGGAAUUAGCCCUAGCAUCGGCCAACUGCCUGGGGAUAGAUGCUGGUGGAAUAAGAGGUAACAGUGCAAAAGGCAUGAUAGGAAAGAAAAAAAGAGGAUACCACACACUGCCAUUUUCAAAGCCGAGGUGGCGAGGUAUCAGGCUGCAGAUUCGGACAGUCAUUCUCCAAGGCUCGAUUUGCAAGUCACCACCUGGUACCUAUAGACAGAGGGUCCAGCAGGCUGGUUAACAGACACCGCUCCAGUUCUAAGAAGCCAGCAGUGGGAUCCACGUUUGUUAAGGUGGAUGCGGCUGAAAUGGGAAUUAUCCCCCCAUAGGCUUUGCUGUAAAUGACCAGGUCCUUUAGAAUGUACAACCUCUCAGUGCUGCUGCAAGCUGGGAGCUGGAUUUCUUUCUGUCUUCUUUUUAAAAUCCAUUCCUUGUGUUUUCCUAAAUAGCCCUUUAAAGAGAAAUGUAACCCCAGGGCUGCUGAAUGUGAGGGAAGGCUCCCCCACCCCGCAGCUUUGAACUCAGCAAGGCAAAAAACAAAAAAACAAAAAAACAAAAAAAAAAACAAAAAAAACAACGCUUAUUUUGGGGAACCUGCUUCUCCUCAUUACUCAUGCCCUCCCCCUAGUUGAUGUUUGCAGGGGACCCUCGCUUAGCUGGGGGUUGCAGAGAGCAGCAGGCGAUAUUCCCACCAAGCCACGAACUUGGAGAAGGCAAAUUCAUCAGAAUAAUAUGAAAUACAGUCUCUGCUUCUAUUUAAUCACUUUCUUAGUCACAGACUAGGGUCUUUCCAGCUCACCCCGUUUUCUGGGGAGAGGCUUCCAUUACUACACAGUUGUACCCAAUCACAGUUCUCUGCUUCUUUAAGGCUGUACCUUCAAGGUCGUAGUGGGGGCGUGCUGACCACAUAGACACAGGAGAAGAUGAAAGGUGAGAGGAUCCCUUUUUCAACCCCGACUUGCCUGCUGGCUUUUGAUGUUUCCCCUGGAGGAUCCAAACUCCAAACGCUGGGGUUGGCAUCUUGGGUGAUUUUGAUUUCAAUGAAGCCACUUUGCUGAGAGAACUGGGGCACCCAUGACCUCCUGGUAGAGCUUCCCAGCCAAGUCCCUUGUAGAUAUUCUCCUGUUUUAUUAGAGACCAUGUAUUUAUCAAAUCCUAGCCUUUUCUUGCACAUCAUUCAUUGUAGUGCACUUCUCGACUGCCCCGAUUUUGACAAGGGGUUGUUUUAAUGCUUGUUUUAUAUGAGAUUUGACUUCUUGAUGGACAUUUGUAUUAGGAAAUUGAAGCAUGAUAUAUAUGUAUAUAUUGUCUCCACCAUCUCUCCUGUUGUAUUGCUUGGAUUGCAUGAGAUAGUGGGGUGGUUCUUGUUUUUUAAAAAAUAUUUCCACAGUGUGCAAAGUGCUGGCAACAUCCCUCCCUCUCCUCCACCCCCCCACUUUUCUCUGGCUGCCAAGGAGUCAUUGAUUUUGAUUAGCUUCACUGCAGAGCGUCUGUGAAGAGAGAGAGAGAAAGGGAGGGAGGCUUUGAAAUGAAUUUUAAAAAAGACCUCAUAUCGGGUUUCAGCAGACAGCAGUGUGUGUGUGUGUGUGUGUGUGUGUGUGUGUGUGUGUGUGACCGUACAAGCAGAGGGAGGCCUCUGAGAUCAUCGUUUAGGUAACUUGCUGCAUAAUGAGAUGAAGAGACUUUGCCUCUUCAUUUCUGAUGGUGCUGCUUGCUCUCAGAGAGUGGGGAGCCAGGAACCUCAGGGACUGGAGCCCCCAGGACUUCAACACUCCGAAUGAGAUCCAGUCCUUUCUGGAAGUUUCUCACCCCUACGUGAUACCCCACAAACAAAUACAAUCUCUUCAAAUUUGGGGGUCCGUUUCCUAUUGUCUUUGUUAUUGGUGUAGCUUGAGUAGGAAGUUUCUCUGGGGAGCCCAUUAGCCCCACUGGCUGCUGUCCGUGGUCCUAGGCCGUGCGCAUCUCCUAGAGCCCAGUUCCUGUUUUUUGUUUGUUUUGUUUUGUUUGUGGUUUUAUUUUGGCCGUGCACAUCUCUUAGAGCCUAGUUCCUGUUUUUUGUUUGUUUGUUUGUUUUUAUGUUUUUAGCUGCCUUCAUUUGGGUACUGGGGACUUCUUUUCCACUUCUUCUUUAUUUUGAGACAGAGUCUCGCUCUGUCGCCCAGGCUGGAGUGCAGUGGUGCGAGCUUGGCUCACUGCAACCUCCACCUCCCAGGUUCAAGCGAUUCUCCUGCCUCAGCCUCGCGAGCAGCUGGGAUUACAGGCACAUGCCACCAUGCUCAGCUAAUUUUUGUAUUUUUAAUAGAGACGGGGUUUUACCAUGUUGGCCAGACUGGUUUUGAACUCCUGGCCUCAAGUGAUCCACCCGCCUUGGCCUCCCAAAGUGCUGGGAUUACAGGUGUGAGGCACUGUGCUCAGCCUCCACUUCUUAUUUUGAUUCUUUUCUGUUUUGAUGAUGAGAGGAAAGAGUGAUUUAAACAAUACCGUCACAGAAAAAUGAAACUGUGCCUGGUUUUCACAAUGUAUGUAGCUGAUCUCAUGUUCUCCUAUUAUUAUGUUUCUGACAGUGAUAAAAUACCACUCUCCCUCUGUGGGGCAUUAGGGGAGUCCUCACCCACCCAUCUCCUACGCAAGUAUCUUUUAGGGACACCGGUUCACCAUUGUGGACUUUUUGAGUGUCCACCUGAUAUUACAAGUUGCAUUGACCAGAACACAGAUUUUGUUCUUCUGUGUCAAUACCCGUUUCUUUUCUGAAGAUCAGAAGUUGGUUAAGGGUUUGGGGGACCGGCUAGACACUCUUCUUAUCCCAUGGAGCUGACUGGAAGUUCCAUGAGGGGAGGAAAUUGAUGUCCAAGUGUCAUUUUAAAGCUUAAGCUGAAAGUUUAUUUUUAAAAUUUUCAUUCAUUCAUUUAGCAUAUAUUUAUUGAGCAUCUACAAUGUGCCAGGUUGUAGAAUUCCAUCUCAGAAGAGACUUGACUUAUGGAUGGUGGAGGGGACAGUCCUGCUCGGAAGCAGAUGAUGUGAAAUGUCCCUUUCCAGUCACGACAUUUAACAGAUUUUUCAAGUCACCACUGUGACCCCAAGCCUUGCUGGCAGAUUGUUAUAUAGUAUUGACUGAGAGCCCCGCUAUCUGGUAAAGGCAGUUAAAAAGCCUGCAAUCUCGACUCAUUUCCAGCAUGAACAGACUGGUCCUUGCUGCUUUACACAAUAGUCAAAGCUACCUUUUAUGGCGUGCUCGCCACUCCCAAGCCCUGGGCGAAGUGCUUUACCAUCUUCCCCUCCGCGAUGCCUCAUGCCCACUUUAGCAGAUAGUACUGUUAUCAUUUCCAUUUUACAGUGGAGGAAGCUGAGGCUCAGAGAGGUUGAGCAACUUAGCUGAAGUCCACACCACCAGCGAAGUGCCUGAGCCAUGAUUUAGACUGGAGUCCAUGGGACCCCCACGCUCACGAGCUGACUGCUCUGCUCCACUAGUUCCCUUCAUGAGGUCACCCACAGCACUGCUAGUUCCAGGGCGAGUGCCAGCACAUGGCCCCGCUGGGAGCCGGGGGCCUGACUUAGGUCCACUGGAAAAAGUGUCACCUUUCGGGACACUCAAGGACAGGCUGGUUGGAUUCGUUGUGGAUUUUAUAUACUCAUGCUCUCCCCGUGUUCCUGGUUUCUAUAAGGUCCCAGGGAAGGUGCAUGGAAUUUGAAAAUAGGGCCUGUAUGACUUAUUUCCUAGGACACAGGAAGCUUUUCUUACCUCCUUCCUACCCUCUUCUCCAACCUGAACUCCCAAGUUCCUUCUCCCGAAGGUCUUUUGCACUAUAAGCGCCAAGGAAGCUGUGCGCGUGGCAGGGACGGCUGGGAGGGUAUCUGGAGAACCUUAGUGAGGCCUCUGGCCUAGCCAGAGAGGCAAUAAGCUUGGGGAUGUUCCGUUCUGGGUUCUGACGUUGUUGGUUCUGACAUCGUUGUGCUCUUUUGUAAGAGGAAUUUCAUACCUUGGAGACGCUUUGUACAUAUUUGUAAUGACUUUAUUAAAAAAUUGGUUGUGCACUUCUAGCCAAAGACAUUUGUGUUUUCAUUUCCUUUUGGAAGGCUGGCCCUCAUAGACUCUGGGAGUACCCAGCCGCCUAACAGGGACAGGAUCCCUGCCCCUGGCUCCUGCAUGCCCCAGCGCUCCCUCUAGCAGAAGGCCAGCCACUUCCUUCCCUCCUCUAAUUCCUAAGAUCCACCACCCCACCGACCCCCGAAGGGAAGGACUGGCCUCAAGAAUGCCCUUGGGUUGGGCAACAGGUUUGGGAAACUUGCCCAACAGUUCAAGGUCAG